RNAcentral lists this ribosomal RNA (2092 nucleotides) under Triticum aestivum (bread wheat). RNAcentral describes it as "partial small subunit ribosomal RNA". The record is from RNAcentral. Lineage: Eukaryota; Viridiplantae; Streptophyta; Magnoliopsida; Poales; Poaceae.
CGACAGAGCAAAAAAAAUAAAAAAUAAAAAUCCAUCAUCCCCGCGGCGACUUUUCCUCUCCACCGUAUCCUCCUCCUCCCCUGUGCCGCCCUGCCCUAUCUCAAGCUCCGAUCCACCGUGCCCUAGACCUGCCGCCGAACGUGCCCUAGCCACCGCCGGCGCCCCCCGCGCGCGGUCGCCGUCUCCGCCCUACCUCGCCGCGCCCCCGCCCCCGUCCCGCCCGCAGCCUUCGUUUCCGAGAUCCGCCUCCGAUCUGCUCGGCGGCAGGCGCUGUUGCUGUCGUUGUUGAAGGAGGAGGAGGAGGAGAGGGAGCCCUAGACUCCUAGGGCAAGGCCGAAGCAGAUGGGGGCACCGAAGCAGAAGUGGACGGCGGAGGAGGAGGCGGCGCUCAAGGCCGGGAUAGGCAAGCACGGGGCCGGGAAAUGGCGCACCAUACUCAAGGACCCCGAGUUCAGCAACAUCCUGCGCUACCGCUCUAACGUUGACCUCAAGGACAAGUGGCGGAACAUGAAUGUCACGGUGAACGCGUCGGGCACUCGCGACAAAGUGAGGACGACGACCACGACGACACCCACGGCUAAGAAGCCGAGGUCUGCUCCGAAGCAGGAAAACCACCCGACGGCGAUCACCACCAUCACCUCCGACGGCGAUGAUGACGUCAUCGACGUGAAGCCUAUCAUAAAGCCUAUUGUGACGUUUACUACAGGUUCAGGGAAUAAAUCGCUAUCCAGGCUAGAAAAUAUCAUACUGGAGGCCGUGAAGACCUUGAAUGAGCCUACAGGGUCAUACAAAACAGCCGUUGCUAAUUACAUAGAGGAACAAUACUGGCCACCUGCUGAUUUUGAUCAUGUACUGUCUGCAAAACUGAAUGAGUUGACAUCAUCUGGGAAAUUGAUGAAGGUGAAUCGGAAGUACAGGAUAGCCCCUAGCUCGUCCUUUUUAGAAGGGCGAAGCUCCAAAAUGCUGCUGCUUGAUGAUAUAAAAAAGGAGCCAACCAAGGUAGAGAAGGUAGAGCGGGAUGGCUUUACAGCCCACACCAAAUCUCAGGUAGAUGCUGAACUUGCACGGAUGAGAAACAUGAGCGCAGAAGAGGCUGCAGCUGCAGCAGCUCGUGCGGUUGCUGAGGCAGACGCUAUCAUGGCGGAAGCUGAAGCCGCAAUGAGGGAAGCGGAGGCUGCAGAAGCUGAUGCUGUAGCUGCACAAGCCUUUGCGGAAGCAGCAAUGUUGACAUUAAAAAACAGGAGUUCCGCAAAAUUGAUCAUUCGAGGUUGACACAUCUUGUGGGACCUGCUUCAGUGUCCGCUUUCCUCUGACCUUGUUGUGCGCGCGUGCAUCUUUGCUGAAUUCCAGCGCAAACUAACUGAUGCUUUGGUGUUACUGGAGCCAUCGAGCUGAUGGCAAUGCUGAUCUGUUAUUUUAAUCCAUGCAAGCUCAUCCCAGAUUCAAGCAGCGCAAACUUGCUUGGUUUUCUGACUUGCACCUUGAAGCUAGUUACCUUUCUCCCUCAUGCCGGUUUGCCGAGGGAUGGAGGAAGACAAACUCAUAUUUAACUCCCACAUUACAGAGACGUAAAUGUGAUCUGCACGGGCUGUGGGAUGAUGAGAAGCUGAAUAAAUACAGAUGAUGGUCAUUCCAUCUUUCUGGACCCUUGUUGCUGUCAUGGUUUAGGUCACUGCCAUGUUGGAAUUUUAUUCACCAUGUGUUGGAUUACCUUACCUUCCUUUUGCGGCGAAUCUUCCGAAUGAACGGUGCCUUUCAGUUUGCCGCUUGUCUGUCUGGUCUGCCCCAGGCCAAGGUAUUUGGUACAGAAUAAUCACAGCGUCUAUAGAAUUCAUUCAUGUUUUCAGUCUGUAUAAGUUUGCCAAGCCAAAAUAGUUGGCAACAUAACAUGUUUUGGCAGGCCGAAUUCACCCAAUAUUUAUCUUGGUAUUGUACCGGUGCUUGGAAAAAACGCAGUUGUACAUUUGGUGAUCCAACGUCUACCAAUCUUUGAUAUCGGUGAACUUGGGUGGCAUGUGCGUCUUGGUUCAACCCAAAGUUUCUUGGAAUUGUACAAAGCGCACACAUGCUUUUUCAAUCCGUGUGAUUGUUU